Molecule: ribosomal RNA, 464 nt
Filed under: uncultured bacterium
Lineage: Bacteria
Description: partial 16S ribosomal RNA
Rfam family: Bacterial small subunit ribosomal RNA
Source: RNAcentral
GACGAACGCUGGCGGCGUGCUUAACACAUGCAAGUCGAACGGUAAGGCCCCUUCGGGGGUACACGAGUGGCGAACGGGUGAGUAACACGUGAGCAACCUGCCCUUGACUUUGGGAUACCAGCUGGAAACAGCUGCUAAUACCGGAUAUGACCUCUUCUCUCAUGGGUUGAGGUGGAAAGCUCCGGCGGUCAGGGAUGGGCUCGCGGCCUAUCAGCUUGUUGGUGAGGUAAUGGCUCACCAAGGCUUCGACGGGUAGCCGGCCUGAGAGGGCGACCGGCCACACUGGGACUGAGAUACGGCCCAGACUCCUACGGGAGGCAGCAGUGGGGAAUAUUGCACAAUGGGCGCAAGCCUGAUGCAGCAACGCCGCGUGCGGGAUGACGGCCUUCGGGUGGUAAACCGCUUUCAGUAGGGACGAAGCUAACGUGACGGUACCUACAGAAGAAGGACCGGCUAACUACGUG